This 234-nucleotide long non-coding RNA is filed under the name Mytilus galloprovincialis (Mediterranean mussel). Lineage: Eukaryota; Metazoa; Mollusca; Bivalvia; Mytilida; Mytilidae. The record is from RNAcentral.
GUUGCUCAGCAGUUAGCGUUCUAUGUUGUGUUUUGUAUACUUAUAGAUUAUUGUUGAUCAUCUCAACGAGAUUGAUUUUCUCGCUUCAGCAGGGACGGCGAAAGCGAGAAAGGCAAUUGAGUUGAGAUGACCAAUGAUAAUCUGUUUAUCGCUAUUUUACCUAUGGCGACGUUGUCAUUUUCAUGUCAAUUUCGUUAGCAACGCCACGUGCCUGCUUAGUUUCUAGCAAUAAUU